GGAAAUUACUCGUGUUUGAUUGUUUGUAGGUUUCUGAACAGCACAAGCCUCGCCCAAGCGUGGAAAUGGUCGCUCAAGCCAUAAUUUAGAAGAAAAACACCAGAAAAUACUGACAUCCCUCGCCCAAGCGCCAAUUGAAGGUCAAAAACCUGAUAGGCGAGGGAGUCUCGCCCAAGCGAGGUGUUCAAGCGAGGAAGGGGCUUUUUCUCUCGCUCAAGCGAGAAUCCUUAGGUUGAGUAAGAGAGUGACAGUUGGAACUUGAUAUAGGCAGUUCUGGACAUCAAAGGGGGUUAUCGAAAUACUUCUGAAGCAUAUUUUGCAUUAUUCCUUGUAUAAUUUCAUGAUUUGAGCGUUGUAAUAGCAAGAAGGAAUGAUUAGAUCUUGUUGUGGGAUUCGAAAUGUAAUCUUCUAACCUUUGUACUCCUGGA
This 428-nucleotide long non-coding RNA is filed under the name Lupinus angustifolius (narrow-leaved blue lupine). RNAcentral's name for it is "long non-coding RNA (LANG_LNC002589)". Lineage: Eukaryota; Viridiplantae; Streptophyta; Magnoliopsida; Fabales; Fabaceae. The record is from RNAcentral.